AUACGUAGGGUGCGAGCGUUGUCCGGAAUUACUGGGCGUAAAGAGCUCGUAGGUGGUUUGUCGCGUCGUCUGUGAAAUUCCGGGGCUUAACUCCGGGCGUGCAGGCGAUACGGGCAUAACUUGAGUACUGUAGGGGAGACUGGAAUUCCUGGUGUUGCGGUGAAAUGCGCAGAUAUCAGGAGGAACACCGGUGGCGAAGGCGGGUCUCUGGGCAGUAACUGACGCUGAGGAGCGAAAGCAUGGGUAGCGAACAGGAUUAGAUACCCUGGUAGUCCAUGCCGUAAACGGUGGGCGCUAGGUGUAGGGGUCUUCCACGACUUCUGUGCCGUAGCUAACGCAUUAAGCGCCCCGCCUGGGGAGUACGGCCGCAAGGCUAAAACUCAAAGGAAUUGACGGGG
This 398-nucleotide ribosomal RNA is filed under the name uncultured bacterium. RNAcentral describes it as "partial 16S ribosomal RNA". It matches the Rfam family "Bacterial small subunit ribosomal RNA", at positions 523 to 918 of the family's 1533-position model. The record is from RNAcentral.